Molecule: non-coding RNA, 124 nt
Filed under: Saccharolobus solfataricus
Lineage: Archaea; Thermoproteati; Thermoproteota; Thermoprotei; Sulfolobales; Sulfolobaceae
Source: RNAcentral
CUCAAGAUGUGCGGUUUUCCUCACAUCCGUGAUAUUCCGCGGGUGUGGGUUGGGGUUAUUCCGCUAAUGGGGCGGAGAGGGAUGAACGUCCGCGACUUUGGUGAAGCCCAAGGGCUGAGGAUUG